This is a long non-coding RNA of Manacus vitellinus (golden-collared manakin), 1094 nucleotides long. The record is from Ensembl. Lineage: Eukaryota; Metazoa; Chordata; Aves; Passeriformes; Pipridae.
UCGGUUUAGUUCAGUAUCUGGGAACACGCCUGAGAAGACUUACUAUCAACCUACGAAUGACUUCAGAACUAAAGUCAGAUUAAGACUGUCACAGGCAGAGCUGUUUGGGAAUGGAGCCCUUACCACCUUUCACUGGAGAAUUUCAGGAGAAUGGCAAGACUGGAAGUGCAGCAGAAACAACUGGACCAGCUGUGUUGUGGUAUGGCAAGAAUGCUGUGAGAAGUGGGCCAGCCCUGCCUGUGGUGGCAAGCAGCACAGCCCGGGUAAAAAGCUUAUCCCAAAGUUUAGACUUCAAAUUUUCAUUACAACCUCAGUCAAUGUGAAGAUACACAAAAAUAUGUUUAAAAUCCAGAUGUUGCUGACAUCUACAGUAGGGGCCCUCUGAGCCUGGAAACUUAACCCCCAAACGUUUCCUUGCAUUGUCAUAAUCUCUAAAUGAAAAUGAAGGGAAACAAAGAGAAAAUGAAAGCUGAAAUUAAUAGAAACAGUUGGAAAUGUUUCCCUUUCAAACACAGGUGAAAGGAUGAGCUUUUUCACAGGCUAGAAGAGUCAGGCAGCUUCUGGUCUGCUCAUUAGCUUUUGGAUCACCAGGAAGAAGUAAGAUUUGCAAGCAUUCCAGGUUUAGACUUUUUAUCUCCCUGUGCUCAUAAAAAAUUCAAAACAGUUUACAAAUGGUGAUGUGCAGAGAGACUAUAAUUUAAUGUCUAAUAUCUUACAGAUGAAGAAAGAAAUAGCACUUGUUUACAUCUGAAAUCUCAGGGUACAUAGAAUAUUAUGAGUGGGAAGGGACCCACAGGAUAUUUGAGUCCAACCCCUGGUCCUGCACAGGACAACCCCAAAAAUCACACCACACAUAUAGAGUAUAUAUUUAGUGUUCAGUGACUACGUAUUUCAGCAGAAUAUACAAUUAAAAGUACUGCUGUCUCCUAAUUAUGGGGGCUGCUUUUAUGAAUCUCAUCAGAAUUAGCUGAUACUAGUACCCUUCAACGCAGGUGUAAAACUGUAUCUUUCUACAAAGUGAAUUUCUAAGUGCACAAUAACAUUUUUUAGCCAAAACCUCCUUUAAUCUCUCUACCUAGAGAAAAGUACCUGGA